AUCUGAUUGUGAACUAGGAACAGUAGGAGGCAUCAUGGGUAGGGAUGAUGGUAUUCAUGGUGCUAUAGGGGGACCAUUACCAAAUGUGCACAUAUUUGCCUGUGGAGGAUGUUUGUAGCCUGCACUCUUGUAGGAGGAAUCAAAAUGAUAGUAACAUCAAUCGCCAAGGUGACUUGUUUUCCCACAUAAUUUGUAACACCUCCUACCCAUAUCCGUCGUCGGAAUAGAGUACGAGGCAUUACCAAGAAGCACGAAACACUUACAGAUAAUUUAAAUACAUUUUCAUAACAACUUAUCUCGAUUUCAUACUAUUUCAUAUUUAAGCUUUAUUCACCAAAGUAUUUGAAAUAUCAUCUUUAUGCAAA
RNAcentral lists this long non-coding RNA (365 nucleotides) under Gossypium barbadense (sea-island cotton). RNAcentral describes it as "long non-coding RNA (GBAR_LNC000117)". The record is from RNAcentral. Lineage: Eukaryota; Viridiplantae; Streptophyta; Magnoliopsida; Malvales; Malvaceae.